AGUGUAAUAGCUCAGUGGUAGAGGGUGUGCUUAGCGUGUACAGGUCCUGGGUUCAAUCCCCAGUACCUCCA
This 71-nucleotide transfer RNA is filed under the name Camelus bactrianus (Bactrian camel). It matches the Rfam family "tRNA". Rfam says of the family: Transfer RNA (tRNA) molecules are approximately 80 nucleotides in length. Their secondary structure includes four short double-helical elements and three loops (D, anti-codon, and T loops). Lineage: Eukaryota; Metazoa; Chordata; Mammalia; Artiodactyla; Camelidae. The record is from Rfam by way of RNAcentral. RNAcentral also lists the same sequence under 1 other name.